CUCUACCAAACAUGGGUGCCCUUUUCUUCUUCUCUCUCUCUCUCUUUGGCAUUUUGCCAAUCCAGCACUAUUUUCGCUCAAUCUCUAUUAAUUCCAAGCACAAUAUUCUCAAUCGAAUCAUAUCAGAUGAGGGGACGAGAUAAAAAGGGAGGAAUCACCUACGUUAGUUAUUAUGAAGAGAGGGCUUAGAUUUUUUUAAUUUGAACAGGUAUCCAAACGGCCUCUAAGACUAUUCAUCUUUUUUAGAAGGAGAUCACAAUUGCUAUUAGCUAUUAGAUAUCAACUUGGAUGACCUGGAGUAUGUUGCAAUGUUUGAGAAAUCUCACAAACAAG
Molecule: long non-coding RNA, 333 nt
Organism: Amborella trichopoda
Lineage: Eukaryota; Viridiplantae; Streptophyta; Magnoliopsida; Amborellales; Amborellaceae
Source: RefSeq, a predicted model, not a curated record